Saccostrea cuccullata (small rock oyster) is the source of this 926-nucleotide long non-coding RNA. RefSeq lists it as uncharacterized. The record is from RefSeq and is a predicted model, not a curated record. NCBI's taxonomy places the organism in Eukaryota, Metazoa, Mollusca, Bivalvia, Ostreida, Ostreidae. The transcript has 3 exons.
ACGGUAGUUUGCUUACAUUGUUUUCAAUAACAAUGUACAGAAGACUAGCAGAAAAUUAAAAACUUGGAGCAGUCUGAGCCUCAGUUUUGGCGUUUUCAUGAGUCUUAAUUACGAAUGAAAUUCGGCACUUUGAAGCCAAACUCGGAAAGAAACAGAAACAGAAUUGGAUGAGCUGAUAUAGAAUUAGACAGGAAAAACAUAUUAUGAGAAUACAUUAUUACAGUACAGACCAUUGAUGCUGGAAGUGAGUGGAUAGUGUUACCGGAGACUCAGGGAUCCAGAAAAUAGAUCCAUUAAUUGUACAGUGUAUUCAUGAAAGUGGAUCAAAUAAAAAUGUUUAAUCGAAAAGUAACAUUCUUGGUUUGUCUGUUGGCAUUUUUUGUUGAUGUAAAUCUAAUAACUAUCAAUUUUUGGCAUGCAGAUUCAUAAUUAGAUAGUAGAAGAAUCUGAAACAUAUCUUUAUAUUCUGCAUUUUGAAGUGUCAUAAUUAAAACGAGGUCAAUAUUAAAUGAUCAAUCAAUUAAUUUCAAAACUGACAAAAUGUUUUUGUGAGAAAAAAGAAAGAGGGCUAGUUUAAAGUCAGAUGACACGUUCCUCAAAUUUAUGUUUUGUAUCUCUAGGCAUUAUAUAAAAAAAAAAUAUUCAUAUUUGUCAUUCUCUUCUGAUUUCUACAUUGUUUUCAAAAUGUUUUUAAAUAUAAAUACAAAAAAAAUUUCGAUAUAUGUCAUUCAAAAGAUUACCCAUUAGGGUUAUUAAUAUAAAAUAUCUUUUAGGGUCAGUUCAAGUUUAGACAUUCAUAUACAUGUAUAUAUAUAGCCCUUCCAGAUUUUUAUUUUAGGUACCAGUAGCUACUGAGGUCUUAGCUGUCUUGCAAUAUUGUUUCUUAACUAGGACAGCAGGAGAAUAUAUCGUAGGUUCAAUACCAA